RNAcentral lists this ribosomal RNA (456 nucleotides) under uncultured bacterium. RNAcentral's name for it is "bacterial SSU rRNA". It matches the Rfam family "Bacterial small subunit ribosomal RNA", at positions 340 to 786 of the family's 1533-position model. The record is from RNAcentral.
UACGGAAGGCAGCAGUGGGGAAUAUUGCACAAUGGGCGCAAGCCUGAUGCAGCCAUGCCGCGUGUAUGAAGAAGGCCUUCGGGUUGUAAAGUACUUUCAGUCGUGAGGAAGGUGUUAAGGUUAAUAACCUUAGCAAUUGACGUUAGCGACAGAAGAAGCACCGGCUAACUCCGUGCCAGCAGCCGCGGUAAUACGGAGGGUGCGAGCGUUAAUCGGAAUUACUGGGCGUAAAGGGCACGCAGGCGGUUAAUUAAGUUGGAUGUGAAAUCCCCGGGCUUAACCUGGGAAUGGCAUUCAAGACUGGUUAGCUAGAGUCUUGUAGAGGGGGUAGAAUUCCAUGUGUAGCGGUGAAAUGCGUAGAGAUGUGGAGGAAUACCGGUGGCGAAGGCGGCCCCUGGGACAAAGGACUGACGCUCGAUGUGCGAAAGCGUGGGGAGCAAACAGGGAUUAGAUACC